This 74-nucleotide non-coding RNA is filed under the name unclassified sequences. RNAcentral's name for it is "Burkholderiales-2 RNA". It matches the Rfam family "Burkholderiales-2 RNA". The record is from RNAcentral.
GCAGAGCCCCGGCCAUGCCCGAGGGUGCGAUUGAGCCGGGGAACGCCCUACAUUGGUGGGCGAGCAACAUCGGC